AGAGUUGAUCCUGGCUCAGGAUGAACGCUAGCUACAGGCUUAACACAUGCAAGUCGAGGGGCAGCAUGAUCGAAGCUUGCUUGAUGAUGGCGACCGGCGCACGGGUGAGUAACGCGUAUCCAACCUUCCCUAUAGUAGAGAAUAGCCCGGCGAAAGUCGGAUUAAUGCUCUAUGUUGUAUUUAGAAGACAUCUGAAGAAUACCAAAGGUUUACCGCUAUAGGAUGGGGAUGCGUCUGAUUAGGUAGUAGGCGGGGUAACGGCCCACCUAGCCGACGAUCAGUAGGGGUUCUGAGAGGAAGGUCCCCCACAUUGGAACUGAGACACGGUCCAAACUCCUACGGGAGGCAGCAGUGAGGAAUAUUGGUCAAUGGACGGAAGUCUGAACCAGCCAAGUAAGCGUGCAGGAUGACGGCCCUAUGGGUUGUAAACUGCUUUUAUAUAGGGAUAAAGUCGGGGACGUGUCCCCGUUUGUAGGUACUAUAUGAAUAAGGACCGGCUAAUUCCGUGCCAGCCGCAGC
Molecule: ribosomal RNA, 519 nt
Filed under: uncultured bacterium
Lineage: Bacteria
Description: bacterial SSU rRNA
Rfam family: Bacterial small subunit ribosomal RNA
Source: RNAcentral